GGGGUUGUGGCUCAGUGAUAGAGUGCUUGUAUCGCACAUUUGAGGCACUGGGUUCGAUCCUCAGCACCACA
Molecule: transfer RNA, 71 nt
Filed under: Marmota monax (woodchuck)
Lineage: Eukaryota; Metazoa; Chordata; Mammalia; Rodentia; Sciuridae
Description: tRNA.Ala
Source: RNAcentral